AUUCGUUUUAAGCGAUGGGGGGACGCAGUAGGAUAGGCGAAGCGUGCUGUUGGAGUGCACGUCCAAGCAGUGAGAUUGAGUGUUAGGCAAAUCCGGCACUCUUAAGAUUGAGCUGUGAUGGGGAGAGGAACUUGUUCCUCGAGUCGUUGAUUUCACACUGCCGAGAAAAGCCUCUAGCUAGAAUAACGGUGCCCGUACCGCAAACCGACACAGGUAGUCAAGAUGAGAAUUCUAAGGUGAGCGAGCGAACUCUCGUUAAGGAACUCGGCAAAAUGACCCCGUAACUUCGGGAGAAGGGGUGCUCUUUGAGGUUCACGCUUCGAAGAGCCGCAGUGAAUAGGCCCAAGCGACUGUUUAUCAAAAACACAGGUCUCUGCUAAACCGUAAGGUGACGUAUAGGGGCUGACGCCUGCCCGGUGCUGGAAGGUUAAGAGGAGUGGUUAGCGCAAGCGAAGCUACGAAUCGAAGCCCCAGUAAACGGCGGCCGUAACUAUAACGGUCCUAAGGUAGCGAAAUUCCUUGUCGGGUAAGUUCCGACCCGCACGAAAGGCGUAACGAUUUGGGCACUGUCUCAACGAGAGACUCGGUGAAAUCAUAGUACCGGUGAAGAUGCCGGUUACCCGCGACAGGACGGAAAGACCCCGUGGAGCUUUACUGUAGCCUGAUAUUGAAAUUCGGUACAGUUUGUACAGGAUAGGUAGGAGCCUUAGAAGCGUGAGCGCUAGCUUACGUGGAGGCAUUGGUGGGAUACUACCCUAAUUGUAUUGGAUUUCUAACCCGCAGCACUUAUCGUGCUGGGAGACAGUGUCAGGCGGGCAGUUUGACUGGGGCGGUCGCCUCCUAAAGAGUAACGGAGGCGCUCAAAGGUUCCCUCAGAAUGGUUGGAAAUCAUUCAUAGAGUGUAAAGGCAUAAGGGAGCUUGACUGCGAGACCUACAAGUCGAGCAGGGUCGAAAGACGGACUUAGUGAUCCGGUGGUUCCGCAUGGAAGGGCCAUCGCUCAACGGAUAAAAGCUACCCCGGGGAUAACAGGCUUAUCUCCCCCAAGAGUUCACAUCGACGGGGAGGUUUGGCACCUCGAUGUCGGCUCAUCGCAUCCUGGGGCUGUAGUCGGUCCCAAGGGUUGGGCUGUUCGCCCAUUAAAGCGGUACGCGAGCUGGGUUCAGAACGUCGUGAGACAGUUCGGUCCCUAUCCGUCGUGGGCGUAGGAAAUUUGAGAGGAGCUGUCCUUAGUACGAGAGGACCGGGAUGGACAUACCUCUGGUGUACCAGUUGUCGUGCCAACGGCAUAGCUGGGUAGCUAUGUAUGGACGGGAUAAGUGCUGAAAGCAUCUAAGCAUGAAGCCCCCCUCGAGAUGAGAUUUCCCAACUUCGGUUAUAAG
This 1381-nucleotide ribosomal RNA is filed under the name Staphylococcus pseudintermedius. RNAcentral's name for it is "partial 23S ribosomal RNA". It matches the Rfam family "Bacterial large subunit ribosomal RNA", at positions 1452 to 2832 of the family's 2925-position model. The record is from RNAcentral. Lineage: Bacteria; Bacillati; Bacillota; Bacilli; Caryophanales; Staphylococcaceae.